UACGUAGGGGGCAAGCGUUGUCCGGAUUUAUUGGGCGUAAAGAGCGUGUAGGCGGUCUGGUAGGUCCGUUGUGAAAGCCCGGGGCUCAACUCCGGAAUUGCCUUUAAGACUGCAUCGCUAGAAUUGUGGAGAGGUAAGUGGAAUUCCGAGUGUAGAGGUGAAAUUCGUAGAUAUUCGGAAGAACACCAGUGGCGAAGGCGACUUACUGGACACAUAUUGACGCUGAGGUGCGAAAGCGUGGGGAGCAAACAGG
This 253-nucleotide ribosomal RNA is filed under the name uncultured bacterium. RNAcentral's name for it is "partial 16S ribosomal RNA". It matches the Rfam family "Bacterial small subunit ribosomal RNA", at positions 524 to 776 of the family's 1533-position model. The record is from RNAcentral.